Molecule: ribosomal RNA, 484 nt
Filed under: uncultured bacterium
Lineage: Bacteria
Description: bacterial SSU rRNA
Rfam family: Bacterial small subunit ribosomal RNA
Source: RNAcentral
CUACGUGCCAGCAGCCGCGGUAAUACGGAGGGUGCGAGCGUUAAUCGGAAUAACUGGGCGUAAAGGGCACGCAGGCGGUGACUUAAGUGAGGUGUGAAAGCCCCGGGCUUAACCUGGGAAUUGCAUUUCAUACUGGGUCGCUAGAGUACUUUAGGGAGGGGUAGAAUUCCACGUGUAGCGGUGAAAUGCGUAGAGAUGUGGAGGAAUACCGAAGGCGAAGGCAGCCCCUUGGGAAUGUACUGACGCUCAUGUGCGAAAGCGUGGGGAGCAAACAGGAUUAGAUACCCUGGUAGUCCACGCUGUAAACGAUGUCGAUUUGGGGGUUGAGCUUUGAGCUUGGCGCCCGUAGCUAACGUGAUAAAUCGACCGCCUGGGGAGUACGGCCGCAAGGUUAAAACUCAAAUGAAUUGACGGGGGCCCGCMCAAGCGGUGGAGCAUGUGGUUUAAUUCGAUGCAACGCGAAGAACCUUACCUACUCUUGACA